Danio rerio (zebrafish) is the source of this 46-nucleotide non-coding RNA. Lineage: Eukaryota; Metazoa; Chordata; Actinopteri; Cypriniformes; Danionidae. The record is from Rfam.
UCAAAGGUUCUUUUAAGAACCACCCACUUGCUCUUUAAAAGGCAAU